Molecule: ribosomal RNA, 573 nt
Filed under: Triticum aestivum (bread wheat)
Lineage: Eukaryota; Viridiplantae; Streptophyta; Magnoliopsida; Poales; Poaceae
Description: partial small subunit ribosomal RNA
Source: RNAcentral
AUGGAUCAUUGCAACUUCUUAGUUUGGAAUGUCAAAGGCCUAAAUUCGCCAGCGAGGAGGACCGCUGUUCGGUCGCUCAUUCGUAUGCAUGCUGUCAGUGUGGUCUGUCUACAAGAGACCAAGUUAUCAAGUGUUGAUUCUGCUGUAGUAUCUGAGAUUUGUGGUGCCACCUUCUCUGAAUUUGCCUUCUCACCGUCUGAUGGUGCUAGUGGGGGCCUUCUAGUUGCUUGGUCUGAUGUUGUUGCUGUCACCUCUGUACAAUGCUCAACAAAUUUCAUUUCCCUGAAGUGCUCAAAUAAGAUUACUAGUGAUUCUUGGCACCUGAUUAAUGUGUAUGGACCGCAGCCUUCCAAAGAGAAGAUUUCUUUCCUGAAUGACUUACAACUGUUGUGCAUGAACUCCCCUGACCCUCUGAUUUUAGUGGGCGAUUUCAACUUGAUUGUUGCUGCAGCUGACAAAAGCACUGGUAAUAUCAAUAGAGGGUUGAUUAACGCAUUCAGAAACUUUAUGAACCGAUUGGAGCUCAAGGACAUGUACUUGCAUGGUAGAAGGUAUACUUGGAGUAAUGAGUAA